This is a long non-coding RNA of Mesocricetus auratus (golden hamster), 501 nucleotides long. RefSeq lists it as uncharacterized. The transcript is spliced from 5 exons. Lineage: Eukaryota; Metazoa; Chordata; Mammalia; Rodentia; Cricetidae. The record is from RefSeq and is a predicted model, not a curated record.
AGAUGUAACACCAUGGGGUAGGAAGCCCGUAAACUUCUCUGGCUGACACCUUGUCUGAUUAAGGGUGCCUUUUACCAUACAGAAGCUUUUCGUUUUAAUGAGAUUCCUGUAUAGUCAAUGUGAUCAGCCACCUUCCUGCUACUGCCGCCAUGCCAUGCCUUCCCUGCUAUAGUGGACUCUAUCUCCUCUAGUUGGGAGCCAAAAUAAACCCUGUCUUCUUUGAGAAGACACAAUUUAGAAAUAUAAAAUGCAAAAUGCUUUCAACCAAAGCUUCUGACUUCAACGUGAUGCUUCAUUAUGACUCAAACUUUUUCUCAAAAUUCUGGACGUGAUUCCUGCUGCUUUCUGACAACAAUUUAUCCCAUCCACUGGGGCUACAGCCUUGACUUCUAAUCUAGUCACCCACCAAGCUGCAGGAGCAACGUAUUUUUUUCAUGCUCAUUUCACGGCAGAUGGUUUAUGGAGUAUGCUGCCUGACAGAUGGUUAUUAAAGAAGUUUGC